GACGUCAAAUCAUCAUGCCCCUUAUGACCUGGGCUACACACGUGCUACAAUGGGAAGUACAACGAGUUGCGAAGUCGCGAGGCUAAGCUAAUCUCUUAAAGCUUCUCUCAGUUCGGAUUGCAGGCUGCAACUCGCCUGCAUGAAGCCGGAAUCGCUAGUAAUCGCGGAUCAGCACGCCGCGGUGAAUACGUUCCCGGGCCUUGUACACACCGCCCGUCACACCACGAGAGUUUGUAACACCCGAAGUCGGUGAGGUAACCUUUUGGAGCCAGCCGCCGAAGGUGGGAGAGAUGAUGGGGUGAGUUGAUCCUGUUCUC
Molecule: ribosomal RNA, 317 nt
Filed under: Enterococcus sp. SsFDIA
Lineage: Bacteria; Bacillati; Bacillota; Bacilli; Lactobacillales; Enterococcaceae
Description: bacterial SSU rRNA
Rfam family: Bacterial small subunit ribosomal RNA
Source: RNAcentral